RNAcentral lists this transfer-messenger RNA (126 nucleotides) under Fimbriimonadaceae bacterium. Its description in RNAcentral is "partial transfer-messenger RNA". It matches the Rfam family "transfer-messenger RNA", at positions 236 to 374 of the family's 374-position model. From Rfam's summary of the family: Bacterial tmRNA, also known as 10Sa RNA or SsrA, is named for its dual tRNA and mRNA-like properties. Its role is to liberate the mRNA from a stalled ribosome. The record is from RNAcentral. Lineage: Bacteria; Bacillati; Armatimonadota; Fimbriimonadia; Fimbriimonadales; Fimbriimonadaceae.
UCUGCUGGCCGAGCGUCUUCCCUGCUCCUCGGGUAGCGUGAGGCGAGAACCAAAGAGAGAGCUACGUACGUAGAUCCUGAAGUCUAGGGCUUGCGGACGCGGGUUCGAUUCCCGCCGCCUCCACCA